Molecule: long non-coding RNA, 4981 nt
Organism: Corythoichthys intestinalis (scribbled pipefish)
Lineage: Eukaryota; Metazoa; Chordata; Actinopteri; Syngnathiformes; Syngnathidae
Exons: 3
Source: RefSeq, a predicted model, not a curated record
GAAGGUGCGCCUUACAGUGCGGAAAAUACGGUAAUAUUAUUUUGAAGUAACGCUACUCUUACUAGAGUAAAAAUUUCUGCUACUCUAACCACCUCUGCUUCUUGUAAUGUCACCUGGCGUACACCACCGUUUCCCAACGUGAAACCAACAAUCGAAACUAACAGAAAAUAGCGCUGGCGCGACAUCAAACAAGUCUGAGUGCAACAAAGGAAAGCAGACCGCACACGUAGUAUAAUGAAAUACCAGAUAUGCAUCGCAAUGGCGUACCGCACGCAGGCUAUUUUUAGACCGUGACGUCGCAUCAUAAAGCGGAAGUAAAGCCGAAGUGGGACAUUAUAGACCCGCACUCGCAUAGACACAACGUAAUUUGUGCUACUUUUCCCCGGUAAUCUUUCAAAAACGAACUUGCCGAUCACGCAUUGCUUUUUUGGAACUUGUAGAAACACUAUAGAAAUUACGACACAUGAAGGAUGUUUUCUUCAUACGUUUCUGGAAACCAAAAACUCGGGAGGAAAAAUGUGAAGACUGAAUCAACUUGCGCGGAGUUUAACACCAGCUCGGUGAAUCCAUUCACAUUUCAUAUGCAUAAAACAUUAUGUUGGGUUGGCAUGGUCUUUCAGAGGACAAAGAGAGUUCUCAGGUAGUCCUGAUCGGCCGCCACGCUCCAAGAUUCAGCCUCCAGACUCUGACUGUCGCGCUCCAGCCCAUCUCGCAGCGAAGAAUAAUGACCAUCUGGAGGACAUGCAUUUUAUGACUUAUUGUAUUAUGGUCAUGAAUGUCUACCUAGUGUCAAAGAGGAGCUGACCUUCCAGGUUGAUGGGCUCAGUCAAGGGAAGGGACUCUUCCAAAGCAAGCCUCCCUCGCAGCGCAUCCACCUCAUCCAUCCGUGCUGGACUGGAUCUAUUUGUGUCAUUGUUGGGGAAAAAAGACCAUUGCUCAGAAAACUUCACUGAAUUGACCCAUAGGCUGCCACUGAUUGCACUAAACAUCCAAUUUAUUUUUUGCUGGGAGGACAGACAGAGAUCUGCCAGCUUCCUCCAUUAAAAAAGGAUUGGAAGCCGAUUGGCAUCAAUGGCACCCAAUGAGUUAAAUUGUAUUUAUGUUUUUUUUUCCAGCGGCUUGCGUGUGAUGUUGUGAAAUGUGUGUCAAGUAUGAGGAGGAACCAGUUGAUCAGAGUUGCGGCUGCCGGCGCACCUGAAGCUUGUUGCCGCAGUGUCGUUGUAUGAUGAUGAACCAGGUUGAGCUUUGUUUUUGGUGGGGCUUAUUGUCAUGCUUGGACCCGGGAAGAAGCCAGGGAUUCCAUAAGGAACACUGAACACAAAAUGGAAAAAGAAAACAUGAAAUGAAGCUAAUAGUAGGGGUGUGACAAUACAGUGGGGCAAAUAAGUAUUUAGUCAACCACUAAUUGUGCAACUUCUCCCACUUGAAAUAAUUAGAGAGGCCUGUAAUUGUCAACAUGGGUAAGCAUGGGUAACAUGGGUAAAAUCACAUUGUUUGAUUUUUAAAGAAUUUAUUUGCAAAUCAUAGUGGAAAAUAAUUAUUUGGUCAAUACCAAAAGUUAAUCUCAAUACUUUGUUAUGUACCCUUUGUUGGCAAUAACAGAGGCCAAAUGUUUUCUAUAACUCUUCACAAGCUUUUCCCACACUGUUUCUGGUAUUUUGGCCCAUUCCUCCAUGCAGAUCCCCUCUAGAGCAGUGAUGUUUUGGGGCUGUCGUUGGGCAACACGGACUUUCGACUCUCUCCACAGAUUUUCUAUUGGGUUGAGAUCUGGAGACUGGCUAGGCCACUCCAGGACCUUGAAAUGCUUCUUACGAAGCCACUCCUUUGUUCCCCUGGCUGUGUGUUUGGGAUCAUUGUCAUGCUGAAAGACCCAGCCACGUCUCAUCUUCAAUGCCCUUGCUGAUGGAAGGAGAUUUUCACUCAAAAUCUCUCGAUACAUGACCCCAUUCAUUCUUUCUUUUACACAGAUCAGUCGUCCUGGUCCCUUUGCAGAAAAACAGCCCCAAAGCAUGAUGUUUCCACCCCCAUGCUUCACAGUGGGUAUGGUGCUCUUCGGAUGCAAUUCAGUAUUCUUUCUCCUCCAAACACGAGAACCUGUGUUUCAACCAAAAAGUUCUAUUUUGGUUUCAUCUGACCAUAACACAUUCUCCCAGUGCUCUUCUGGAUCAUCCAAAUGCUCUCUAGCGAACCUCAGACGGGCCUGGACGUGUACUGGCUUCAGCAGGGGGACACGUCUAGCAGUGCAAGAUUUGAGUCCCUGGCGGCGCAUUGUGCUACUGAUAGUAGCCUUUGUUACUGUGGUCCCAGCUCUCUGUAGGUCAUUCACUAGGUCCGCCCGUGUGAUUCUGGGAUUUUUGCUCACGGUUCUUGUUAUCAUUUUGACGCCACGGGGUGAGAUCUCGCAUGGAGCCCCAGAUCGAGGGAGAUUAUCAGUGGUCCUGUAUGUAUAUCUUCCAUUUUCUAAUAAUUUCUCCCACAAUUAAUUUCUUUACACCAAGUGUUUUACCUAUUGCAUAUUCAGUCUUCCCAACCUGGUGCAGGUCUACAAUUUUGUCUCUGGUGUCCUUCGACUCCUUUUUGGUCUUGGCCAUAGUGGUGUUUAGAGUGUGACUGACUGAAGUUGUGGACAGGUGUAUUUUAUACCGAUAAUGAGUUAAAACAGGUGCCAUUAAUACGGGUAACGAGUGGAGCUUCGUUAGCCUCUUUGACAGCCAGAAAUCUUGCUUGUUUGUCGGUGACCAAAUACUUAUUUUCCACUGUAAUUUGGAAUAAAUUCUUUAAAAAUCAAACAAUGUGAUUUUCUGUCCCCCCCCCCCCACAUUCUGUCUCUCAUGGUUGAGGUUUACCCAUGUUGACAAUGACAAGCCUCUCUAAUAUUCUUAAGUAGGAGAACUUGCAUAAUUGGUGGUUGACUAAAUACUUAUUUGCCCCACUGUAUAUUCAAAUGGUGAUAUGUCGUGAAACUUUGUAUCCUAAAAGGUUAUCUAUAUGCUCUUGCCAUUACCUGGGGUAAUUCGAUUAGAAAAUAGCUUCGAAUCAAAUUUUGCUGAAUGGAGUAAGGUUCAGGGCGUCGCUAUCCAAUCCAUCCCACUUGUUCAUAUAGAAAACGCCUACAUCCAGUCCGCGUUUUCCCUGUGAAAUUGCUAGCGGUCGGUGCUCCCUUUUUAUUCCACAGUCCGUCUCUGCGCACGUCUAACCUUUGUUGUUUUGUGGUCAAAAGUUACAUCCCAGCUCUAAAAUAACGCUGCUACUUAGCUGCUGCUGCUAGAUAGUUAGUCUGAAAUGCAUUGUGAAGGACUCUUGUUACUACUAUCUGUAGGGUGACUUCCUUCUGGAGCAGCAGCUGUGUUUCCCACUUUACACAUAGAUGAGUACAGGAGCUGAGCUCAUUCAUGUAUGAUUAUCAUCAGCGGACAGUCAUAAUAAUACAGUACACAAAUAAUAAUCACUACACCACCUUUAUUGACGAGUACUUUAAAGGAUAGGAUAGGAGGGUAAUGAUAAAGUGGAGAAAGCCAAGAAGAUGAUUAUAUAUAUCAUACAUAUACUAUCAGUCAUUGUUAGCUGUUUGUGAAGUUUUGUGCUUGUACGCUACAUUCGCUUACAACCUGUAUAACUCUUGGGGCCUUAGUCCUCCCUGUUUUUAAAACCUAGUGAUGCCCCUGGCCUAGAAUGAUUUUCUGACCCAUUUAUCGAUAAUUGUUCUAUCACCAUAUUGUGAGACCAUCGUGAGCCUUAUAUCGCAAAGUUACUUAUUUUGAAGGGACAACAAAUUUACAGUAAUAAAAAAAACGCAAGCUAGCUACAUUACAUUGUAGCAAAGUGUCAAUUCUUUAGUGCUGGUUAUCUGUGUGGUUAAAAAUUGGCUUGGUGGAACACACGUAAUCUCAGAGUGUGCUGGCCAUCUGCCGCCUGUGGUCACUCGGACCCGGAAAGACAACAAAGGGGGAGGUUGAAUGAUUUAGAGUCAUGUUUGUGUGUUGACAGAGCAGCUCCCCUGCUAAAAAGCGACAAGAUGAGAGCAUUUGAUUCCAAACAAGGCUUAAUGACGCAUGCCAGGAGCUCAGGUCAGAGCUGCUCCUGGGGAAACGCGGUCACGAGCCAAAUGUGACACCAGAUCCGCAGCAGUUCAUACCUGCCGAAGGCGAGAAGUGUACCUCUCAUGUCUUAAUAAUGAACAAAAUGGCAGUCUUUUUAAUUGCAUGCCAGAAAAAUGUGAAAGCCUGAAAGACUGAGUUUUGCGCAAUAUGAACAAACCACUUUCAGCACCAACGCUGAUCAGAAUAGCAUGGAGUUACUCUAUAUACCCAUGAACUAUUCAGACCUUGUAUAACUUUUGCGGCAUGAGCAACAACAUGCACAUCUCAUGAAACGGGCUUCCCUUUGAACACUGUUGAGUUGUGAGGGCGCAGCCACACCUCAAAUGUUUAUGUCGCUCUGGAGUGAAAGCAGUACCAAAUACAGGUCAUUCCCCCACAACACAACAUACGGAACUAGACCAGCAAGUCUGUCAGGUGGCCUGCUGCAAAGCGCGCACAACAAACAAUGAAACGCCCACAACUCAACUAUAGGCACAAUGCAACACACAAACUGCAUUCUCAGUAGGGGUGGGAAACUCUGGGUAACGCACAAUACGAUUUGCGAUAUGGCAAUACAACAAUUAUCUAUUGCAGCAACGAUUAAUCGAUUAACUCGAGUAAUUCGAUUAGAAAAAAAGAUUCAAAUUAAUUUUUGCUGCUUCAAGUAUUUGUUUAAUUAAAAGCGAUGUUGUAAGGUUUGUUUUGAAAGUGUUUGCAAUUAGUUUUAUUGAUUUGGGUGGAUACAUUGCCCACUGGUGGCCACAGUGAAUAUGACAUAACUCAUUUCACAUGGCUGAAUCCAGCUGCUCCCUGUUAAUACCAACAUAAGCUAAGUUUUUGUUUGAGCUCAUGUUUUUUUAAAUUCAUUUGUAAUGUAGUUUAUAUGUAUAUUUAGCUGUUUU